RNAcentral lists this transfer RNA (74 nucleotides) under Actinomycetota bacterium. Its description in RNAcentral is "tRNA-Ile". Lineage: Bacteria; Bacillati; Actinomycetota. The record is from RNAcentral.
GCGGGGAAACUGGAGGUCACCAGCCCGGGCGGACUGAUAAUCCGUUUGUUGUGGGUUCGAGUCCUACCCCCGGA